Molecule: ribosomal RNA, 253 nt
Filed under: uncultured bacterium
Lineage: Bacteria
Description: partial 16S ribosomal RNA
Rfam family: Bacterial small subunit ribosomal RNA
Source: RNAcentral
UACGGAGGGGGCAAGCGUUGUUCGGAAUUAUUGGGCGUAAAGAGUAUGUAGGCGGCUAGAUAAGUCUGACGUGUAAGCCCAUGGCUCAACCAUGGAAUUGCGUUUGAAACUAUUUAGCUUGAGUGCAGGAGAGGAAAGCGGAAUUCCCAGUGUAGCGGUGAAAUGCAUUGAUAUUGGGAAGAACACCAGUGGCGAAGGCGGCUACCUGGUCCGGAUCUGACGCUGAGGCGCGAAAGCGUGGGGAGCAAACAGG